UCGAGAAUCAUUCGCAAUGGGCGAAAGCCUGACGAUGCGACGCCGUGUGAGCGAAGAAGGCCCUAGGGUCGUAAAGCUCUUUCGCUUGGGAACAAGAGAAGCUGGCUAAUAACCGGCUGAUUUGAGUGUACCAGGUAAAGAAGCACCGGCUAACUCCGUGCCAGCAGCUGCGGUAAUACGGAGGGUGCAAGCAUUAAUCGGAAUUAUUGGGCGUAAAGGGCGCGUAGGCGGGGAUGUAAGUCAGAUGUGAAAUCCCGAGGCUCAACCUCGGAACUGCAUUUGAAACUGUAUCUCUUGAGGAUAGGAGGAGAAAAUGGAAUUCCACAAGUAGCGGUAAAAUGCGUAGAUAUGUGGAAGAACACCAGUGGCGAAGGCGGUUUUCUAUCUUAUACCUGACGCUGAGGCGCGAAAGCAAGGGGAUCAAACAGGAUUAGAUACCCCCGUAGUCC
RNAcentral lists this ribosomal RNA (449 nucleotides) under uncultured bacterium. Its description in RNAcentral is "bacterial SSU rRNA". It matches the Rfam family "Bacterial small subunit ribosomal RNA", at positions 355 to 796 of the family's 1533-position model. The record is from RNAcentral.